Long non-coding RNA from Panicum virgatum (switchgrass), 1329 nucleotides. RefSeq lists it as uncharacterized. The record is from RefSeq and is a predicted model, not a curated record. The transcript has 2 exons. NCBI's taxonomy places the organism in Eukaryota, Viridiplantae, Streptophyta, Magnoliopsida, Poales, Poaceae.
CUUACCAACUCCAUGGAGAUCACCGGAGCUCACCGCCGUCUGGAGGAUCGGCCACUGGCCAGUGCCUCUGGAACCGCUGCUACGCCGGUGUCUACACGGCAGCGCAGGGGUUCGAGAGUGGGGCCCUGACCUUGCUGACUUCAUCACUGCCUUCCUGGGUAUAGUGCUUGCUUUUACUUUCCCAUACUUGUUGUGCAAUGUAGUAUAGAUUGAAGUUGAAUUUUUUGCUUCUAUAGAGAUUUGGUACUUUAGUGCAUGGAUGGGGAGAGACUGUUGACCAUGUGGUUGCCAUAGAUUACUGGUCGCAAAAUCUAUCUAGAGAAUUGGUCUGCACUGAGAAAUAGAUAUCCUCACCGGAUAGGAUGAUGGCAAAGUUUGUCAGGUGAAUGUUUUGGUUGUGUGCUAUCGGGUUGAUUAUCCUUCCAAAAUUAGUUGCUCUUCAAGGUGGAACUGUCAUCUGGCCAUGGUGCCUCCUUACUUGUAAUGUUGAAACGUGAUUGCCAAAAUAUUAGACAUUAUAUCCGUGUGCUUCAUGAUGACAGAAAAAUGCUUGUGCAGAAUGCACUUUGGCAAUACUAUGUAGUAAGCCAGUAGCUAAUUGCUAACCGUUAUGUGAGAGGAGCUUAUGAUUGUUAUUUCUAUAAUUCUAUGUCUGCUGUUAAGAUGGCAAGAGUAUUUCCUAAUUUUGAGUACGAGGCAUAAUUAAACUGCAAAGUUCAACAAAUUAACUUCCUUUGCUUGUUUUUAUAUUGAUUGUGUAACUUCCUAAGGUGAAUAUCUGAUCUUCAUUCGCUCUGAUGAAGAAAGCUACAGAAAGAGGAUACUCCGGCUGUUGACUUCAGUGUAUUCCACAAUCAGCAUUCCUGAUGUGGCUCCUUCAUGGGGAUGAGUGAGGAGGAUGCUAUGAACUAAGGAGAACUCGAGAAUGGUAGGUUGAUCGGUUAUAUCAGCUCAAGCCAAUAAGCUAUUCAUAUGGUGGCAUAUGGCAGCGGAGGGGCGUCGCCAGGACCGUGGGACGGCGGCGCGACAGGAGGAUGACCGGGUGCGGCGACGCGAGGGAGGACAGGCAUCGCGAGGACCAGGUGACGGCGGCGCAGUGGGACGGGUAACUCGGUGGGGGUGGGGGCUCGGAACACGAGGAGGUGGCUGGAGAGGGGCGCACGGUGGUGGGGCGGGUUGGCAUGGCUCUGGCGAGCAAUCCGGCUACCUAUUCUCUAGAAUAGAUUUCUGCUACUACCUCUUUUGUGAUUUAGUUUAGCAGGAAACUAAUAUGCUUAUGGCUAUUAUCAAGAUAUAAGGAUAACAGGGAAUUUUUUUCAGUUCUUGCAA